This 1315-nucleotide long non-coding RNA is filed under the name Gallus gallus (chicken). RNAcentral's name for it is "lncRNA (ENSGALG00010014072.1)". The record is from RNAcentral. Lineage: Eukaryota; Metazoa; Chordata; Aves; Galliformes; Phasianidae.
GUUCAAUUUUGGGCCUACGUGACAAGCCACAUUUUAAUGACAUCUUUCCCCAGGUAUGGCUCAAGCUUGUAUGUGGGCUCUAGAUUGGAAGAAUAAAUUCUGGGGACAUUUGAGACUUUUUUAGAUGCUGGUGAGAUAGUCAACCCUCGUGAAUGAAAAAGUUCUGGGGAGAGCCUUUGGACAUUGCUUUCAGGAAGAUUGAUUCUGAUCAUCUUAUCAGCCAAGGCAUAUGACCAGGGAGAGUGCUGGGAGCAGGCAGGCCGUUUCCACCACCGUGACACAGAAACAAACGGCAGAUUAUCUGCUGGGUACAAAAGAGUUCAACAUGUUCAGCCACCAUCUGCCCAACUGCAAAUUCAGCAGGAAAGAAGCACAGGUGAAGUUGAGAGGAGACUCUUGAAUGUGCCAGAGACAUCCACUAAGAUUACUGACUUUUCAAAUCCUGCCCCAGAUUUUUCCCCAAAGACAGAUAAAUCAAGCUACCAAAGCUAUGACAGUCAGAAAAGUUACCUUUAUGUCAGUAAAUUGACAUGCAAUAUGUGUCCUCCAGUAACAUGCUUGUACAAAGCACUGAAUGUGUGCUAUAGUGUGUUACAUAUGAUCAACCCUUCAGCCAAACAGGAUAUUACUUAUCUGGGAGUGUCAAGCCAUUUACAUUUUUGAAUGACAUGUACAAGUUUAAAAUAUGAUUAAGAUUUUGGCUUUUGGUAGAGCUACUCUCUCUAUUGACCUUCCUGCCCCCCCUGAAGAAACCAACCUUUACCAACCUUCUGGGAUAAAAUCAGAUCUGGUAUAGAUCUGUAUAUCUCUUGAAUUCGCUGAACUCAAGCAUUUUUUUCACUAACGACAAAAGUGAUUUUAACUAACUUCACCCUACAAACAGUUCAGUGUACUGCCAGAAAGUGAGAAGAUGGUCUCCUUCUCAAAAGAAAGGAAGAGGCAAGACUUUUUGGCCAUUUGUAUUGUUUUAAACUGUGUGUCUAAGUUAUUUUGGCAGACUGUCACUCUCAAAGGGCCUCCCUUUACUGAGGAGAGAGGGGUCACAGAAAAGAUAAAGUCUCCUGCUCUUUGACCGGUGAGAUCAGUACUAUCCCUAAUAAAUAUGAUUCCCUAACUUAGACACUUAGAAUAUCCCAAGUAUUAUUUCUAAUAUUGUGCCUCUAUUUUACUGGGCCAGAUUUAAUAGAUUUGUAAGUUAGUGCAAAGAUAUUAGUCAUGAAAGGUUACUGGCAACUGGAAGUCAGCAGUUGCCAAGAGCAAUCUUUUUUUUUUUUUUUUUUUUUUUUUUUUUUUCCCCAGUAUUUUGUGAGGUUAC